Molecule: ribosomal RNA, 253 nt
Filed under: uncultured bacterium
Lineage: Bacteria
Description: partial 16S ribosomal RNA
Rfam family: Bacterial small subunit ribosomal RNA
Source: RNAcentral
GACAGAGGUGCCGAGCGUUAGGCGGAAUCACUGGGCUUAAAGCGUGUGUAGGCGGACUUCUAAGUACCUUGUGAAAUCCCACGGCUCAACCGUGGAACUGCUUGGUAUACUGGUUGUCUUGAGCCACUUAGGGGCAGUCGGAACAGACGGUGGAGCGGUGAAAUGCGUAGAUAUCUGGAGGAACACCGGUGGCGAAGGCGGCAUCCUGGACCGACACUGACGCUGAGGAGCGAAAGCCAGGGGAGCAAACGGG